GCAGUGGGGAAUAUUGGACAAUGGGCGCAAGCCUGAUCCAGCCAUGCCGCGUGAGUGAUGAAGGCCUUAGGGUUGUAAAGCUCUUUUGUCCGGGACGAUAAUGACGGUACCGGAAGAAUAAGCCCCGGCUAACUUCGUGCCAGCAGCCGCGGUAAUACGAAGGGGGCUAGCGUUGCUCGGAAUCACUGGGCGUAAAGGGCGCGUAGGCGGUCUUUUAAGUCGGGGGUGAAAGCCUGUGGCUCAACCACAGAAUUGCCUUCGAUACUGGGAGACUUGAGUUCGGUAGAGGUUGGUGGAACUGCGAGUGUAGAGGUGAAAUUCGUAGAUAUUCGCAAGAACACCGGUGGCGAAGGCGGCCAACUGGACCGACACUGACGCUGAGGCGCGAAAGCGUGGGGAGCAAACAGGAUUAGA
RNAcentral lists this ribosomal RNA (414 nucleotides) under uncultured bacterium. RNAcentral describes it as "bacterial SSU rRNA". It matches the Rfam family "Bacterial small subunit ribosomal RNA", at positions 351 to 782 of the family's 1533-position model. The record is from RNAcentral.